GACGAACGCUGGCGGCGUGCUUAACACAUGCAAGUCGAACGGAAAGGCCCUGCUUUUGUGGGGUUCUCGAGUGGCGAACGGGUGUGUAACACGUGAGUAUCCUGCCCUUGACUGUGUGAUAACUUCAGGAAACUGGGGCUAAUACCUGAUAGGAGCUCCUGCUGCAUGGGGGGGGUUGGAAAGUGUCGGCUGUUGUGGAUGGACUCGCGGCUUAUCAGCUUGUUGGUGGGGUAGUGGCUUACCAGGCGUUUGACGGGUAGCCGGCAUGGGAGGGUGACCGGCGACAAUGGUACUAAGAGACGGACCAGUCGGGUACGUGAGGCAGUAGGGGGGAGUAUUGCACAGUGGGGCCGAGCGUGAGGCGGAAGCGCUCGGAGCGUAAAGACGGCUUACGGGGUGUGAACCGCUGUGGCAUGAGACGAGGCGUGAGUGACGGUAACGGGUAAAGAAGCACCGGCUAACUACGUG
This 468-nucleotide ribosomal RNA is filed under the name uncultured bacterium. RNAcentral's name for it is "partial 16S ribosomal RNA". It matches the Rfam family "Bacterial small subunit ribosomal RNA", at positions 28 to 507 of the family's 1533-position model. The record is from RNAcentral.